Molecule: ribosomal RNA, 1346 nt
Filed under: uncultured bacterium
Lineage: Bacteria
Description: partial 16S ribosomal RNA
Rfam family: Bacterial small subunit ribosomal RNA
Source: RNAcentral
GACGAACGCUGGCGGCGUGCUUAACACAUGCAAGUCGAACGGAAAGGCCCUGCUUUUGUGGGGUGCUCAAGUGGCGAACGGGUGAGUAACACGUGAGUAACCUGCCCUUGACUUUGGGAUAACUUCAGGAAACUGGGGCUAAUACCGGAUAGGAGCUCCUGCUGCAUGGUGGGGGUUGGAAAGUUUCGGCGGUUGGGGAUGGACUCGCGGCUUAUCAGCUUGUUGGUGGGGUAGUGGCUUACCAAGGCUUUGACGGGUAGCCGGCCUGAGAGGGUGACCGGCCACAUUGGGACUGAGAUACGGCCCAGACUCCUACGGGAGGCAGCAGUGGGGAAUAUUGCACAAUGGGCGGAAGCCUGAUGCAGCAACGCCGCGUGCGGGAUGACGGCCUUCGGGUUGUAAACCGCUUUCGCCUGUGACGAAGCGUGAGUGACGGUAAUGGGUAAAGAAGCACCGGCUAACUACGUGCCAGCAGCCGCGGUGAUACGUAGGGUGCGAGCGUUGUCCGGAUUUAUUGGGCGUAAAGGGCUCGUAGGUGGUUGAUCGCGUCGGAAGUGUAAUCUUGGGGCUUAACCCUGAGCGUGCUUUCGAUACGGGUUGACUUGAGGAAGGUAGGGGAGAAUGGAAUUCCUGGUGGAGCGGUGGAAUGCGCAGAUAUCAGGAGGAACACCAGUGGCGAAGGCGGUUCUCUGGGCCUUUCCUGACGCUGAGGAGCGAGAGCGUGGGGAGCGAACAGGCUUAGAUACCCUGGUAGUCCACGCUGUAAACGGUGGGUACUAGGUGUGGGGUCCAUUCCACGGGUUCCGUGCCGUAGCUAACGCUUUAAGUACCCCGCCUGGGGAGUACGGCCGCAAGGCUAAAACUCAAAGGAAUUGACGGGGCCCCGCACAAGCGGCGGAGCAUGCGGAUUAAUUCGAUGCAACGCGUAGAACCUUACCUGGGUUUGACAUGGAUCGGGAGUGCUCAGAGAUGGGUGUGCCUCUUUUGGGGUCGGUUCACAGGUGGUGCAUGGCUGUCGUCAGCUCGUGUCGUGAGAUGUUGGGUUAAGUCCCGCAACGAGCGCAACCCUUGUUCACUGUUGCCAGCACGUUAUGGUGGGGACUCAGUGGAGACCGCCGGGGUCAACUCGGAGGAAGGUGGGGAUGACGUCAAGUCAUCAUGCCCCUUAUGUCCAGGGCUUCACGCAUGCUACAAUGGCUGGUACAGAGAGUGGCGAGCCUGUGAGGGUGAGCGAAUCUCGGAAAGUCGGUCUCAGUUCGGAUUGGGGUCUGCAACUCGACCUCAUGAAGUCGGAGUCGCUAGUAAUCGCAGAUCAGCAACGCUGCGGUGAAAACGUUCCCGGGGCU